GAAGGUAUAGCUCAGUGGUAGAGUGCAUGCUUAGCAUGCACGAGGUCCCAGGCUCAAUCCUCAGUACCUCCA
This 72-nucleotide transfer RNA is filed under the name Camelus bactrianus (Bactrian camel). It matches the Rfam family "tRNA". From Rfam's summary of the family: Transfer RNA (tRNA) molecules are approximately 80 nucleotides in length. Their secondary structure includes four short double-helical elements and three loops (D, anti-codon, and T loops). Further hydrogen bonds mediate the characteristic L-shaped molecular structure. tRNAs have two regions of fundamental functional importance: the anti-codon, which is responsible for specific mRNA codon recognition, and the 3' end, to which the tRNAs corresponding amino acid is attached (by aminoacyl-tRNA synthetases). tRNAs cope with the degeneracy of the genetic code in two manners: having more than one tRNA (with a specific anti-codon) for a particular amino acid; and 'wobble' base-pairing, i.e. permitting non-standard base-pairing at the 3rd anti-codon position. The record is from Rfam by way of RNAcentral. RNAcentral also lists the same sequence under 2 other names. Lineage: Eukaryota; Metazoa; Chordata; Mammalia; Artiodactyla; Camelidae.